UACGAAGGGGGCUAGCGUUGCUCGGAAUUACUGGGCGUAAAGGGCGCGUAGGCGGAUAUUUAAGUUAGAGGUGAAAGCCCAGGGCUCAACCCUGGAACAGCCUUUAAUACUGGAUAUCUUGAGUUCGGGAGAGGUGAGUGGAACUCCGAGUGUAGAGGUGAAAUUCGUAGAUAUUCGGAAGAACACCAGUGGCGAAGGCGACUCACUGGCCCGAUACUGACGCUGAGGCGCGAAAGCGUGGGGAGCAAACAGG
Molecule: ribosomal RNA, 253 nt
Filed under: uncultured bacterium
Lineage: Bacteria
Also listed under: 1 other name
Description: partial 16S ribosomal RNA
Rfam family: Bacterial small subunit ribosomal RNA
Source: RNAcentral